This 253-nucleotide ribosomal RNA is filed under the name uncultured bacterium. RNAcentral's name for it is "partial 16S ribosomal RNA". It matches the Rfam family "Bacterial small subunit ribosomal RNA", at positions 524 to 776 of the family's 1533-position model. The record is from RNAcentral.
GACAGAGGGUGCAAACGUUGUUCGGAAUUACUGGGCGUAAAGCGCGUGUAGGCGGCUCGGCAAGUCGGGUGUGAAAGCCCUGGGCUUAACCUAGGAAGUGCACUCGAAACUGCCAAGCUCGAGUUCUGGAGAGGAAGGCGGAAUUCUCGGUGUAGAGGUGAAAUUCGUAGAUAUCGAGAGGAACACCGGUGGCGAAGGCGGCCUUCUGGACAGCAACUGACGCUGAGACGCGAAAGCGUGGGGAGCAAACAGG